CAGGUUUAUUGUAUCAACAGACACAAAGCUACACGUCAGCUGUUUAUCAACUAAAGUUAGUCCGAGUUUAAAUGGUCAUCAGUUGAACGGGUUAAUGAAUCCUGACCUGAGAGUCUCCAGUGUGCAGUGUGGACUCUUCAGUCCAUCAGAGAUCAGCUUCCCUCCUGAAUCCU
Etheostoma spectabile (orangethroat darter) is the source of this 173-nucleotide long non-coding RNA. RefSeq lists it as uncharacterized. Lineage: Eukaryota; Metazoa; Chordata; Actinopteri; Perciformes; Percidae. The transcript is spliced from 3 exons. The record is from RefSeq and is a predicted model, not a curated record.